Molecule: long non-coding RNA, 1616 nt
Filed under: Androctonus crassicauda
Lineage: Eukaryota; Metazoa; Arthropoda; Arachnida; Scorpiones; Buthidae
Source: RNAcentral
UUUUUUUUUUUAACUCGAAAAUAUAUAUAUUAUAUCUCGAUAGAACAUAAUGGAACUUUAAGAAAAAGUUAUUCAGACUUAAAAUAACAAAUUUCACAAACAGUCUUCAAUAAUUUUAGAUUUUAUCGACUGAUUUAAUUUCCACAAAAGAAAUUGGUUUAGACGAUGACCUGUUUAAUACUUCCAUCGUUUCUAUAUUCUGAUAAUUAUAGAGUAUGUUACGGUGGAUUAAAUUUUGGUGAAAGUUGCUUUCAAACACCUGAAAUAUUUAAACAAAAUUUACAAGAUUGUAAUGAGAAGUUGAUGUUAAGAGGGAGGAGAGGAGCGUAUAAUCGUGAGACAGAUUCGGCAAUUGAUAAACAUUUGAUCAUUGUUGCGAGAGCGAAACGGAGAUUUAGCCCACCUGUGUCGAGUCCCGUUUCUCACGGAUCUGCUCCCCAAUGCAGUCCCCGCUAAGGUCUCACGCGACCUUGACAUCGUUGUCGGUUGGAUCACGUGAGAAAGCAGCUGCUUUCGUCAGUACAGCCAAAACUUUUGACACUAGGACGAUGAACUCGUCUGGGUAAAGACUAAUUCGUCGAGUUGAAUGAGCCUGCUUUACACAAAAAAAAAAAAAAAAAAAAAAAAACCUCACGGCAUGCACGCUCCACCAAAUAUGCAGUCUCCUUGGCAGGUGUAUUAUUGCUUCUUUUUGGUAAUGCACUGCAGAAUGUCGAUCAUUUGUCGCCGGCUGCUUGUUUCCUUCUUUUUUUUUUUUGACGAUCCUGUUUAUCUCUCAUCGGUGGAGACUGAUUUGAAAAUUUGGUAUUUACUCAUUUACAUAUUUAAAAUAAAACCGACGCCAUUAUUGAUACGAGUGCGUGAUACUUCAAUUAACGCGCGCAGGUGUCGCAACCGUUCGAAUCCGGGUGCGUUCCUUUGUAGACGUAGAAGUUAUUACAAGAUGUGGCCCCGCUUAGGUUCUUUGUUCUCGCAGUUGCUGCUAGUCUGAGUCAAGAAAGAGAGAGAGAGGAGGGGCAUCGCUGAAGCGUGGCGUCGUUUCUCGAGCGGAAACGAGGCUGUGAUGGGAGGAACGAACUAAAGUCAACAACCCAACUUAACGUAGAAAUGAUGUCGUUUAGAUAUGAGAUGCACUUUCAGACAACGCAAACCGAACACUUUAAAUCUUAGCGGAUGAACGUCGUAAGCUUUCUUUUUGCUCCAUUAAGCUAUCUCGUUUUAAUAAUGCCCAGUUUGAAAUUGUCCAAAAGCAUACAGUCGAGUUGAUCCUUUAUGAAACUCUGUUGAUAUAAAAUCUUAACUGUGUCAGGUAUAGUUAGCUCGGGGCCCGGAAAUCCACUUUAUAAUAGUCGCUUUAUUUCCAGGAUAUUAUCAAUGUAGAAGCUACCGCGACUUAAAGCAAUAUCAUUUGUCUUUCCAUGCCCUACAUGCAGUUCCCAUCGACCGAUAUCUUUGAUCUUAUCUACGUAUCUCGUCCAACUUUUUUUUUUCGCUAAUUUUUUAACAGUACUGUCGGAUAUUAAUCUUUCUUCAACACGGACAUUUUCUUUUUAUUUUUUGUAGAAGUUAGUUGUUGUUGGUUUAAGGAUUUGCUGCUUGAAAUUCUGUUUAGUGAC